ACAUAUUUAAUAUAAAUAUCCAGCGUUUGGCCAGCAGUCAUUUGUCAAAUCAUUAACCAACGUUUCACUCAGGGAAUUAGGAAAAACAGCUGGUCGCCUGACGCCUGCCUUCAGCCAAUCCGGUGCGACUAGUUUUUAAUAUUCAUGAGCCAAGCCUUCAAUUGCGCGCCAGGUUUAAAAAGAUCAAGUCAAAACAGCAUCGCGCGUCUGAACGCGUCGUGUGAGUUAUCAGGGUUUAGUUUGUGUAAUGUGAUGUUUACGGAGCCCGUUUUCGGCCAAGAAGGAGAUAAAACAACAAUGGAGCAGGAAGUGUCCAACUUCAAAUCCAUCAGGGCAAAGUUUCAAGAGGAGAUCCUAGCAAAAAGCAGACCCAUGCUGCCCGAGAAACCCAAACGCCUCCCAAUAGCAUCUUUCGGCCGCUCUGGUUUAAUGACCAUAACCUCGAGUCCAGCUCUGGACACCAAGACCCCCAGCCUACCUCGAGUCAUUUUCCGAGAAGAGCAGAAAGUUCCUUCAGGAAAACGGCCUAUAUCAUUUCCAAGCUUUGCUCACAAAACACCUGAAGAUGGCGGGAACAGGCAUUCGCUUAAAGUCCGACAUUUGCCCCUCGUGUUGCCGAUUUCAACUGAGCCGAAGCACGAUAUCGCUGCUCCUUCUUACAAGAUGAUCACCUCGCCUCUCAAAUGCAUCAAGAAACCAAUGCCUGCACCAUUCAAGCCAAGCAAAAUAUCACUAUGUAGUAAAGAGACUGGAAAACACGGGCUGGAGCACAUAAAGAGCGGCACUUAUGUUCACGCAGAAGAGUCCGCUGAUAAGGCCGUGAAUACAGAACAUGUUGAGAUCCACCAGACGAGGGUGUCAAACCCCGGCUCACAGUCUCCCAGUCCACAGCACCCGUCUACGUCUUCACCUUGCGAAACGUUGACAGAAUCGUCUACUAGCAGUGUAACCCAGUUCUUCGACCAGCAUGUCUUCAGCACACUGGAGAAAGCCAAGAAGAAGCUCUCUCAAAAGAACCUGCUGGUGUGUGGCAGACCAAAGAGCUUCUACCCUAAUAAAGGUGUAACAUCCACUGAAAGUCCGCAGUCUCCUACUGAAUCGGAGCGCUCUCAUCCCGAGUCCAUGUUUCCUGCAAGGACCGGAUGUCCCUUUAACGGUGUCCCUGUUUAUGCCUCCACUUCUCCAUUUCGGUUCAAUAAAACAUCACCAAGUGCCAUCACUCAUAUAAGGCUGAAUGGAGUCACACAGCUAGAAAAGGAUCAUCCUAAAGUACGCAAACCUCUACCUGACCUGGCAACCCUGGGGCCUUCGCCAUUAAAGCCAUCUAGACCUCCGCAUGUCAAUCUCAUCCGAUGCAAAACGCAAGGUCACUCCAUCGACUCAAACGAAAAACACGAACGGGAACCUGAGAUUCUGGCCACCAGAAAUGCAUUAGUUGAGGGUUCAAACGUGCCACCCCCCGAAUUUCCAUAUUUUGAUAGUUUCGCUCAAGAAGCCAAAGAGGGUAAUGCCAUGAACAUAGCAGCUCUGGAAUUAGAGGCGGCAGAAUUUCCAGAGUCAGGUUCUUUGCCGGAUGAAGACGACAGCGUGCCCUUUCAGGCUCCGCUAGUGCAACAUAGUCCUAGUCGUGAUGGUUCACAGAACAUGUGGUCAGGAGAGGUUCUCACCGGAUCUCUAGAGGAAAAGAGAAACGUCAAGAUCUUGUCAUCGGUCGCUCCUUCUGAGCCAGCGAGUGCAGAUGUCGAAGCGAAAGGAUCACACGUCUCAAAUGACUCCAGCGGUGAACAGCAACUUCCAUCAGAAUCAAACUCUUCUCAGCAGGAGCACAGCCAGGAAACCUGUGAUAAUGUCUAUGAGGAUGUGGAGUCGGUCCCCAGAUUCCCUUUCUCUCAAAACUCUCGGAGGCAGAAAGGACCUCCAAAAAACCCGUACGCUGAUAAUGGCCAUGUGAAAGAGGAGGUGCGGAGAAAUAUGUGGCAUGUCACUCCGUGGUCCAGUUCUGAAGACCAAAAUGGCCCAACACAACAUGACAGGAAAGAGCAACUAAGCCCUGAACACUGCGACGAGAAAGAGCAGAAGAAGAAAGAGAAGCAACGUCUGGAAAGGGAGAAGAAACAACAAAAAGAGAAACAGAAAAAGAGGAAUGAGAUGCACAAGAGAUUUAAAAUCACCGGACUGGAGGAACCCAUGUAUCACGCCAGAGUUCUGGUGGCCAGCAAACUGCGUAAACACGACCUGUCCGUCAAGAGCGGAGACGUCAUCAGCAUCAUCCGAACCGUCAACUGCCCCAAAGGAAAGUGGCUAGCCAGAGACGUCAACAACAAAUAUGGCUACAUAUCUGUAAUGAAUGUGGAGUUGAACAUUAAAGAGAUGCUGGAGCUCGGGAAAAGAGCAUCACACGCCGCUGGACGAGGCCAAACGGAUGGAGAUAACCUCAGCUUCAGCAGCAGGUCAUCUCAUCAGAAUCCAAUGCUCACAAUCAGCUUCUCUGAUGACAGUGAAGAGUGGACAUGUGAUGAAGAGACAGUGUCUCCAUCUGCUGAAAAGUUGAGUCAGAACAGAGCCGUCUCUAUGCCUGACAUGUUUUACAGUAACUUAUCUGCUCAUCAUACUGUGAGCGACGGCAGCACGGAGGACAUCAACACACAGAGUGAAGCUCUGCAGAAACUGGCUGUGUUUUUUCAGAACGGCCACGAAAACCUCAUCACCACUACAGAAGAUGAACUACCUUUACCAAAGUAUCCUUUUAUUUCUGAACUGAUUUCAUCCAUAUUUUCGUCCAGUUUGAUUUUACAUAAUGUCUUCUUCACUUUUUCUUCAUUGCAAUAUCAGCUCUGAUGAUGCAAGUAAGUGACUCCAGGAUUUCUCUGUGUAACUCGGGUGAUGGCUGUUACUUCCCCCUUCAGUUCCUAUCGGCUUUUUCAUAUUUUACAAGACUGUUGACUUUCCACAGUAAUUGUUAUUCCUACCAUGGGAGGUCAAUGAGGGCUUAUUUUAAAGUGAACCACUCCUUUAACAUUUGCUCAGAUUUUACACUUCUUUUGUCACGUAUCAAAGUUUCGACUAAAGAAUUUCUGAAUGUCUCUUUUUAGUUUUCUGUCCAACUCGAAACACAUUUUUGGACUUUGUACAUUGGGACAAAUCUUUACAAAACUUGGGGCCGGAUUCACGAAACUGUUCUCAGGACAAAAUAUAAGAUUGUUCUUAUCUUCAUUUUUAUCGUUUUCUUAGUAGCAUGGAUGAACCUCCAUACUUAGAGGCAGACGAGUUUCAGUUUGCAGACGUUGAUCUACUUCCGCCCCCUGCGCUCUACGCCGACUCUCAGUGAGACCGCUG
Triplophysa dalaica is the source of this 3336-nucleotide RNA transcript. RefSeq lists it as uncharacterized. Lineage: Eukaryota; Metazoa; Chordata; Actinopteri; Cypriniformes; Nemacheilidae. The record is from RefSeq and is a predicted model, not a curated record. The transcript has 18 exons.